UGCAUUUACUACUGUAAAUCGCUCUGGAUAAGAGCGUCUGCUAAAUUACUAAAA
Salmo salar (Atlantic salmon) is the source of this 54-nucleotide non-coding RNA. The record is from Rfam. NCBI's taxonomy places the organism in Eukaryota, Metazoa, Chordata, Actinopteri, Salmoniformes, Salmonidae.